Molecule: ribosomal RNA, 468 nt
Filed under: uncultured bacterium
Lineage: Bacteria
Description: partial 16S ribosomal RNA
Rfam family: Bacterial small subunit ribosomal RNA
Source: RNAcentral
GACGAACGCUGGCGGCGUGCUUAACACAUGCAAGUCGAACGGAAAGGCCCUGCUUUUGUGGGGUGCUCGAGUGGCGAACGGGUGAGUAACACGUGAGUAACCUGCCCUUGACUUUGGGAUAACUUCAGGAAACUGGGGCUAAUACCGGAUAGGAGCUCCUGCUGCAUGGUGGGGGUUGGAAAGUUUCGGCGGUUGGGGAUGGACUCGCGGCUUAUCAGCUUGUUGGUGGGGUAGUGGCUUACCAAGGCUUUGACGGGUAGCCGGCCUGAGAGGGUGACCGGCCACAUUGGGACUGAGAUACGGCCCAGACUCCUACGGGGGGCAGCAGUGGGGAAUAUUGCCCAAUGGGCGGAAGCCUGAUGCAGCAACGCCGCGUUCGGGAUGACGGCCUUCGGGUUGUAAACCGCUUUCGCCUGUGACGAAGCGUGAGUGACGGUAAUGGGUAAAGAAGCACCGGCUAACUACGUG